CCUACGGGAGGCAGCAGUGGGGAAUAUUGCACAAUGGGCGCAAGCCUGAUGCAGCCAUGCCGCGUGUAUGAAGAAGGCCUUCGGGUUGUAAAGUACUUUCAGCAGUGAGGAAGGGGGUGUCGUUAAUAGCGGCAUCUCUUGACGUUAGCUGCAGAAGAAGCACCGGCUAACUCCGUGCCAGCAGCCGCGGUAAUACGGAGGGUGCGAGCGUUAAUCGGAAUUACUGGGCGUAAAGCGCAUGCAGGUGGUUUGUUAAGUCAGAUGUGAAAGCCCGGGGCUCAACCUCGGAACUGCAUUUGAAACUGGCAAACUAGAGUACUGUAGAGGGGGGUAGAAUUUCAGGUGUAGCGGUGAAAUGCGUAGAGAUCUGAAGGAAUACCAGUGGCGAAGGCGGCCCCCUGGACAGAUACUGACACUCAGAUGCGAAAGCGUGGGGAGCAAACAGGAUUAGAUACCCUGGUAGUCCACGCCGUAAACGAUGUCUACUUGGAGGUUGUGGCCUUGAGCCGUGGCUUUCGGAGCUAACGCGUUAAGUAGACCGCCUGGGGAGUACGGUCGCAAGAUUAAAACUCAAAUGAAUUGACGG
This 586-nucleotide ribosomal RNA is filed under the name uncultured Gammaproteobacteria bacterium. Its description in RNAcentral is "bacterial SSU rRNA". It matches the Rfam family "Bacterial small subunit ribosomal RNA", at positions 338 to 916 of the family's 1533-position model. The record is from RNAcentral. Lineage: Bacteria; Pseudomonadati; Pseudomonadota; Gammaproteobacteria.